Mya arenaria is the source of this 1310-nucleotide long non-coding RNA. RefSeq lists it as uncharacterized. The transcript is spliced from 4 exons. The record is from RefSeq and is a predicted model, not a curated record. NCBI's taxonomy places the organism in Eukaryota, Metazoa, Mollusca, Bivalvia, Myida, Myidae.
UCCGAUUGGAGGUAGAAAUCUCUCUUGGCGCGCACCUGUCAAAAAGAUAAACAAUGGCGACGCCGCAAAAGUUUAAAAGGAAAGAGAAUUGGUCCAGAGCAGAGCAUGAAAUGCUGAGGUAUUCAUUCCUUGAUGAAAGCCAUGCCAUUGAAAGCAAGUCCAACCAUUACUCAUGUCGAUGAAGAAAAAUCGUGGAAGAGGAAUGAAAAGAGACUGAAUGCCCAGGGUGUCUGCAUUAGAACUCUUGAUGAGUUUAAUAAGAAAUUAACCAACAUCAAGAUGGACGUGAAGAGGAGGCGUCAGAUGGCAGCGCUGACAGGUGGUGUGACUCCGUAUCUGUUCUGAUACAUAGAAGGGCCACUUCUGGCCUAUAUAUCUACGGGGUGACUCCUCCAAAGUUCAAUGAGCAGGAGGAGAAGAAACAAGUCCAUCAUCUUUGGUGCUGCACCAUACUGCCAAAACAGCUACAUGUUCAUCGUUUGCAGUUAUGUCAAUUUACCUCCAACAUAGUGUUUCCUGCAAUGUCCCAGGGGGCUGCCAUGAUUCCAAAAAGUACAACACCAACUGCAGCAAAAGUGACAAGAGUUUCCAAGAUUCCAUCUACAAGCAACUUGAAAAGACUUCUUAAAUGCCAGAGUGAGCUCUAUGAGCAAAUAUUACAUCAACAAAAACUGACAAUUGACUGUCUCCUUUAUUACAAUUUAUUUCAUGAAUGAUAACUUAAAUAAAAUGUGACUCAGCAACUGUUUUAAAUCAACAAACAUUCUAACAUAAACCUUUGAAGUCUUAUAGUAGAAUCAUAUACCUGGAAGUCUUUGAUUAUUUUAUCUACUUAAAAAACUCACAAUCCACUUAAAUAUUGCUGACACUUGAAGCUUUGCAUAUUUUAUUCACUAUUGCAUUUAAUAAAUCUUUAUUUACCUGUCAACCUAUUCAUAUUCAAGUAAUCUAAUAUUUAAAUACAUAUGGAAAAGCACUUUCAUUUAAAGUGACAUCUAUCAAACAUUGUAAUCACAAAAAAGGGGCUCAUAAUCAUACAUUUUAUGAUAUGGUAUUUUUUUACCAAUAGCUGAAUGUGUAAAUUGGUUAUUGUUUAGAGAGAUAAUAUGUCAAUUUAUUUGUUUUGUAAAUGUGUUUUUAAAUUGUUAUUUAUACUGUCAACACUAUUUUAACAUAUUUAUGAUUGUCAGCCUUCAUGUACUGUUUUGUUCAUUGUUAUAAUCAUCUUCUCCAUAAGUAAUGUCAGUGAUUAUCAAAAUGAUACCGCAUCAAAUUCAUGUAUAAUCAUUUUUAAAGGGACUUGUUCAUGU